Molecule: ribosomal RNA, 626 nt
Filed under: Enterobacter hormaechei
Lineage: Bacteria; Pseudomonadati; Pseudomonadota; Gammaproteobacteria; Enterobacterales; Enterobacteriaceae
Description: partial 23S ribosomal RNA
Rfam family: Bacterial large subunit ribosomal RNA
Source: RNAcentral
ACCACCCUUUAAUGGCUGGUGUUCUAACGUAGACCCGUAAUCCGGGUUGCGGACAGUGUCUGGUGGGUAGUUUGACUGGGGCGGUCUCCUCCCAAAGAGUAACGGAGGAGCACGAAGGUUGGCUAAUCCUGGUCGGACAUCAGGAGGUUAGUGCAAUGGCAUAAGCCAGCUUGACUGCGAGCGUGACGGCGCGAGCAGGUGCGAAAGCAGGUCAUAGUGAUCCGGUGGUUCUGAAUGGAAGGGCCAUCGCUCAACGGAUAAAAGGUACUCCGGGGAUAACAGGCUGAUACCGCCCAAGAGUUCAUAUCGACGGCGGUGUUUGGCACCUCGAUGUCGGCUCAUCACAUCCUGGGGCUGAAGUAGGUCCCAAGGGUAUGGCUGUUCGCCAUUUAAAGUGGUACGCGAGCUGGGUUUAGAACGUCGUGAGACAGUUCGGUCCCUAUCUGCCGUGGGCGCUGGAGAAUUGAGGGGGGCUGCUCCUAGUACGAGAGGACCGGAGUGGACGCAUCACUGGUGUUCGGGUUGUCAUGCCAAUGGCACUGCCCGGUAGCUAAAUGCGGAAGAGAUAAGUGCUGAAAGCAUCUAAGCACGAAACUUGCCCCGAGAUGAGUUCUCCCUGAGACUUU